RNAcentral lists this ribosomal RNA (489 nucleotides) under uncultured bacterium. RNAcentral describes it as "bacterial SSU rRNA". It matches the Rfam family "Bacterial small subunit ribosomal RNA", at positions 28 to 517 of the family's 1533-position model. The record is from RNAcentral.
GAUGAACGCUAGCGGCAGGCUUAACACAUGCAAGUCGAGGGGUAUAGUAGCAAUACUAGAGACCGGCGCACGGGUGCGUAACGCGUAUGCAAUCUACCUUUUACAGAGGGAUAGCCCAGAGAAAUUUGGAUUAAUACCGCAUAGCAUUGCGAAAUGGCAUCAUUUUGCAAUUAAAGUCACAACGGUAAAAGAUGAGCAUGCGUCCCAUUAGCUAGUUGGUAAGGUAACGGCUUACCAAGGCAACGAUGGGUAGGGGUCCUGAGAGGGAGAUCCCCCACACUGGUACUGAGACACGGACCAGACUCCUACGGGAGGCAGCAGUGAGGAAUAUUGGACAAUGGGCGAAAGCCUGAUCCAGCCAUGCCGCGUGAUAGAUGAAGGCCCCUCUGGGUUGUAAAAUAUCUUUUUANCUGGGAAGAAACAAUCUUAUUCUUAAGAUCUUGACGGUACCAGAGGAAUAAGCACCGGCUAACUCCGUGCCAGCAGCCG